Molecule: small nucleolar RNA, 119 nt
Organism: Cavia aperea (Brazilian guinea pig)
Lineage: Eukaryota; Metazoa; Chordata; Mammalia; Rodentia; Caviidae
Source: Ensembl
AGCCUCGUGCUGUUUACCACAGGCAGUGUUCUUACACUGAUGUACAGAAAAGCGAGGAAGAGUAAACCUGCCCCAUAUACACGUUGUGCCUUGCCUGUAUUGUAAAUGGGGAUACAUGU